AACGCCCCUUCCUCGGUGGCAAGCCCUCUCUCUCAGGCAGCCAAUCAUCGGCCACGGAUCGUGUCACGUGAGCCCGCGGUUCGGCCCGCCACCCUGGAAUGAACCGGCUAAUCGCCUUGCCGAAGGGCGAACGGCCCAAUCAAAUCUCUCCAUCCGGUGUUGGAGCACCGGAUUUCCACGAGGCGCUCGGGGGCGGGAGGCCGCCGUUGAUUGGGCUGCGCUGCCGGAAGCGGGGAGGAAAUUUGUUGUGGCGGUGAGGAAGAGGAAGCCCCGAAGGGUCAAAAGGAAUACAAAAGCAAAGUCUGCUCGCUUGCUUUAAACCGUUGUCCUUUCUGUCUUUCUGUCCUAUUUUUUUAAGAGCGAGCGGCCUUGGCGGCGGCGGUUUGGGUUAGACGCCGCGGAGGUGAGGGAGGCUCUCCUCCCGCGCUCUGGGAGGUCUGUCACCUCCCUGCUGUUAGACUGGACUUGACUAAGACUCCUUGAGUCCCUGAGAUUCUCCAUUAGAAUCUGCUUUGGAGAUUUCCCCCCUGCAGACUGUUCCAUUAUGGAUGGAGGAGAUGAUGGUAACCUUGUCAUCAAAAAGAGGUUUGUGUCCGAGGCAGAGCUAGAUGAGCGGCGCAAAAGGAGGCAAGAAGAGUGGGAAAAGGUUCGAAAACCAGAAGAUCCACAAGAAUGUCCAGAGGAGGCCUAUGACCCCCGGUCUCUGUACGAACGGCUCCAGGAGCAGAAAGACAGGAAGCAGCAGGAGUAUGAGGAGCAGUUCAAAUUCAAAAAUAUGGUAAGAGGUUUAGAUGAAGAUGAGACCAACUUCCUUGAUGAGGUCUCUCGUCAGCAGGAACUGAUAGAAAAGCAGCGGCGAGAAGAAGAGCUGGAGGAGCUGAAGGAGUACAGAAGUAAUCUCAACAAGGUUGGAAUUUCUGCAGAAAAUAAAGAAGUAGAGAAGAAGCUGGCUGUGAAACCCAUAGAAACCAAGAGCAAGUUCUCCCAGGCUAAGCUGUUGGCAGGAGCUGUGAAGCAUAAGAGCUCAGAGAGUGGCAAUAGUGUGAAAAGACUGAAACCAGACCCCGACCCAGGUGACAAGGCUCAAGAGGCUCCGUCCUGCGUGUCUCUUGGAAGCUCUUCUCUGAGUGGCCCCUCCAUCCACUGCCCAUCUGCUGCUGUCUGCAUCGGCAUCCUCCCGGGCCUGGGUGCCUACUCCGGGAGCAGUGACUCCGAGUCCAGUUCAGACAGUGAAGGCACCAUCAACGCUACAGGGAAGAUCGUCUCCUCCAUCUUCCGAACCAACACCUUCCUCGAAGCACCCUAGCUCCUGACAUUACCAUAGGGAGCAUCUCCCCAGAGGGGUAAAUGCCUGUUCUGACUCAACAUCACCUCCUCAGAAAACUUCUUCACCUGCUUCCUGUGUACAUGUGACGUUUUAACCUAACCUAGAAUUGUGCCAUAGUCCACUUGUGGCUCAAACUCUGCUUGGUUUCUCUUUAUGCUCCAGUGCAGAUGACCAAACCAGUCCCAGGGGUAGGAGUUGGGGUUCAGGCAAGUCUCAGAAAUGCCACUGGUGGUGCAAGGACAGGCACCAGCUGGCUUGCAAGGGUUCUCCGUACCUUGUUGCUUUCUUGUUUUUCUCCUUUCCUAGUAGCACAGGAAGCAUUAACUUGAUACACUAUUGUAGGUGAAGGGGCUGCUUGGCUCUGCCAUGUUGUGUGUGGCAUAGAGAAGGGCUGACUAGCUGCUGACCUGAGUUCUGCCCUAGGUCUGACCCUUCCUGGAUGUUGUGUGACUAAAGAUUGCAAACCACACCCACAAGGCUAUGAGCCAACCACAGCCGUUGAGGUGAUGCUCCUCCAUGUUGUUAUUCUCCCCUCCAUCCAGCUUGAGGAGGUAGGAAGGAGCUGGCUGCAAACUAGUGGGACAUGCCUGUUAUGGCUGUCCUCUACUCCACCGAGGCACUGCUGUUUGCACAGAGCUGCAGCCUUUGACGGUGAAGGUAUUCCAGCCUGAGGUGCUGGCUCGUGUAUUGACACUGGUGCCCACCAGCAGAUGGUGGUUUUCCUUCACCCAUCGUGGAUGCCUGUGAUUGCCGCCACCCUUUGCAGAGCCUCCCAGUGCUAAUCUUUCCUGUCAGUGCGGGAGCGUCAGCUCCGUCCUGAGAAGACAUUUAGGUAAAACUGCAAGCACCUUC
Arvicola amphibius (Eurasian water vole) is the source of this 2179-nucleotide RNA transcript. It is a transcript of the gene named proteasome activator subunit 3 interacting protein 1, with no coding region annotated. The record is from RefSeq and is a predicted model, not a curated record. The transcript is spliced from 10 exons. Lineage: Eukaryota; Metazoa; Chordata; Mammalia; Rodentia; Cricetidae.